CGAACAGGCUGCACUGAGAUUAGACAAACAGGAUAGCUUUCAAUAUCUUGAUCAAGACUUUGCUAAAAGCAAGCAUAUUUAUGCUGAGAAAAAAAAGCUGGGAUGUGUAAGUGCAAAUACCCUGAAAAAGAGUGUCCUGAGAAUGGUGUGCAUCAACCAAGCUGGGGAUAUUUUCAGAGUUUAAAACUAGUGUGAUUGCAUUAAGGUGCUGUUGGCAGUAUUGACACAUCCAAGUAAGGAGUGCAGUGGUGUCAUGGGAGAGAUCAUCUGGAGUGAAUGUUGAUGGAGUGGAUCUUAAGUUUCGUUAGAGCAAUAGCAAGCACCUAUUCUGUGACUGCAAGUGCCCAAUCUGAAAAAAACAAGCAAAUAAAAUCAGCUUGCUAGCUACCAUCCAGAUACCAACAAGUGAGAAAUGGGAGAGGUCAGCAAUGAUCGAGCAGUGUGUGAUCAGAGGAAAUGCUGGACAUGGCAGUAUUCGUGCUGUGAGUUCAGUGUCGACCUGAGGAGGGUCCGGUUACAAUGUGCUGUGCACGGGACCUACAAGCUGUCUGUAACAAAGUGCUUGAACACUGGGAGUCAGACAAGCUUCCGACCCAGGUAAGCUGGGGCUUGGAAACUAACUCUGGAGAAGGGCCUAACAUGGAACCUGAAUCGUCUGAAAGUCUUUGUAGACCUAAGCUUCUAUUUUGUAUUGAGACGUGAAAAAAAAAAGCAGGAUCUUCUAAUUUUUC
Molecule: long non-coding RNA, 731 nt
Filed under: Gallus gallus (chicken)
Lineage: Eukaryota; Metazoa; Chordata; Aves; Galliformes; Phasianidae
Description: long non-coding RNA NONGGAT001544
Source: RNAcentral